CCUACGGGAGGCAGCAGUGAGGAAUAUUGGACAAUGGGCGAAAGCCUGAUCCAGCCAUGCCGCGUGUGUGAAGAAGGUCUUCGGAUUGUAAAGCACUUUAAGUUGGGAGGAAGGGCAUUAACCUAAUACGUUAGUGUUUUGACGUUACCGACAGAAUAAGCACCGGCUAACUUCGUGCCAGCAGCCGCGGUAAUA
RNAcentral lists this ribosomal RNA (195 nucleotides) under uncultured Gammaproteobacteria bacterium. RNAcentral's name for it is "partial 16S ribosomal RNA". It matches the Rfam family "Bacterial small subunit ribosomal RNA", at positions 338 to 525 of the family's 1533-position model. The record is from RNAcentral. Lineage: Bacteria; Pseudomonadati; Pseudomonadota; Gammaproteobacteria.